This 2906-nucleotide ribosomal RNA is filed under the name Enterobacter asburiae. RNAcentral's name for it is "23S ribosomal RNA". It matches the Rfam family "Bacterial large subunit ribosomal RNA". Lineage: Bacteria; Pseudomonadati; Pseudomonadota; Gammaproteobacteria; Enterobacterales; Enterobacteriaceae. The record is from RNAcentral.
GGUUAAGCGACUAAGCGUACACGGUGGAUGCCCUGGCAGUCAGAGGCGAUGAAGGACGUGCUAAUCUGCGAAAAGCGCCGGCGAGGUGAUAUGAACCUUUGACCCGGCGAUGUCCGAAUGGGGAAACCCAGUGCAAUUCGUUGCACUAUCGUUAACUGAAUACAUAGGUUAACGAGGCGAACCGGGGGAACUGAAACAUCUAAGUACCCCGAGGAAAAGAAAUCAACCGAGAUUCCCCCAGUAGCGGCGAGCGAACGGGGAGCAGCCCAGAGUCUGAAUCAGCUUGUGUGUUAGUGGAACGGUCUGGAAAGUCCGGCGAUACAGGGUGACAGCCCCGUACACGAAAGCACACAGGUUGUGAACUCGAAGAGUAGGGCGGGACACGUGGUAUCCUGUCUGAAUAUGGGGGGACCAUCCUCCAAGGCUAAAUACUCCUGACUGACCGAUAGUGAACCAGUACCGUGAGGGAAAGGCGAAAAGAACCCCGGCGAGGGGAGUGAAAAAGAACCUGAAACCGUGUACGUACAAGCAGUGGGAGCACCUUCGUGGUGUGACUGCGUACCUUUUGUAUAAUGGGUCAGCGACUUAUAUUCUGUAGCAAGGUUAACCGUAUAGGGGAGCCGAAGGGAAACCGAGUCUUAACUGGGCGUUAAGUUGCAGGGUAUAGACCCGAAACCCGGUGAUCUAGCCAUGGGCAGGUUGAAGGUUGGGUAACACUAACUGGAGGACCGAACCGACUAAUGUUGAAAAAUUAGCGGAUGACUUGUGGCUGGGGGUGAAAGGCCAAUCAAACCGGGAGAUAGCUGGUUCUCCCCGAAAGCUAUUUAGGUAGCGCCUCGUGAACUCAUCUUCGGGGGUAGAGCACUGUUUCGGCUAGGGGGCCAUCCCGGCUUACCAACCCGAUGCAAACUACGAAUACCGAAGAAUGUUAUCACGGGAGACACACGGCGGGUGCUAACGUCCGUCGUGAAGAGGGAAACAACCCAGACCGCCAGCUAAGGUCCCAAAGUCAUGGUUAAGUGGGAAACGAUGUGGGAAGGCACAGACAGCCAGGAUGUUGGCUUAGAAGCAGCCAUCAUUUAAAGAAAGCGUAAUAGCUCACUGGUCGAGUCGGCCUGCGCGGAAGAUGUAACGGGGCUAAACCAUGCACCGAAGCUGCGGCAGCGACGCUUAGGCGUUGUUGGGUAGGGGAGCGUUCUGUAAGCCGUUGAAGGUGUGCUGUGAGGCAUGCUGGAGGUAUCAGAAGUGCGAAUGCUGACAUAAGUAACGAUAAAGCGGGUGAAAAGCCCGCUCGCCGGAAGACCAAGGGUUCCUGUCCAACGUUAAUCGGGGCAGGGUGAGUCGACCCCUAAGGCGAGGCCGAAAGGCGUAGUCGAUGGGAAACAGGUUAAUAUUCCUGUACUUGGUGUUACUGCGAAGGGGGGACGGAGAAGGCUAUGUUAGCCGGGCGACGGUUGUCCCGGUUUAAGCAUGUAGGCGGAACGAUUAGGUAAAUCCGGUCGUUUAUUAACGCUGAGGUGUGAUGACGAGGCACUACGGUGCUGAAGUAACAAAUGCCCUGCUUCCAGGAAAAGCCUCUAAGCAUCAGGUAACAUCAAAUCGUACCCCAAACCGACACAGGUGGUCAGGUAGAGAAUACCAAGGCGCUUGAGAGAACUCGGGUGAAGGAACUAGGCAAAAUGGUGCCGUAACUUCGGGAGAAGGCACGCUGAUAUGUAGGUGAAGCCCCUGCGGGUGGAGCUGAAAUCAGUCGAAGAUACCAGCUGGCUGCAACUGUUUAUUAAAAACACAGCACUGUGCAAACACGAAAGUGGACGUAUACGGUGUGACGCCUGCCCGGUGCCGGAAGGUUAAUUGAUGGGGUUAGCGGCAACGCGAAGCUCUUGAUCGAAGCCCCGGUAAACGGCGGCCGUAACUAUAACGGUCCUAAGGUAGCGAAAUUCCUUGUCGGGUAAGUUCCGACCUGCACGAAUGGCGUAAUGAUGGCCAGGCUGUCUCCACCCGAGACUCAGUGAAAUUGAACUCGCUGUGAAGAUGCAGUGUACCCGCGGCAAGACGGAAAGACCCCGUGAACCUUUACUAUAGCUUGACACUGAACACUGGUCCUUGAUGUGUAGGAUAGGUGGGAGGCUUUGAAGCGUGGACGCCAGUCUGCGUGGAGCCAACCUUGAAAUACCACCCUUUAAUGGCUGGUGUUCUAACGUAGACCCGUGAUCCGGGUUGCGGACAGUGUCUGGUGGGUAGUUUGACUGGGGCGGUCUCCUCCCAAAGAGUAACGGAGGAGCACGAAGGUUAGCUAAUCCUGGUCGGACAUCAGGAGGUUAGUGCAAUGGCAUAAGCUAGCUUGACUGCGAGAGUGACGGCUCGAGCAGGUGCGAAAGCAGGUCAUAGUGAUCCGGUGGUUCUGAAUGGAAGGGCCAUCGCUCAACGGAUAAAAGGUACUCCGGGGAUAACAGGCUGAUACCGCCCAAGAGUUCAUAUCGACGGCGGUGUUUGGCACCUCGAUGUCGGCUCAUCACAUCCUGGGGCUGAAGUAGGUCCCAAGGGUAUGGCUGUUCGCCAUUUAAAGUGGUACGCGAGCUGGGUUUAGAACGUCGUGAGACAGUUCGGUCCCUAUCUGCCGUGGGCGCUGGAGAAUUGAGGGGGGCUGCUCCUAGUACGAGAGGACCGGAGUGGACGCAUCACUGGUGUUCGGGUUGUCAUGCCAAUGGCACUGCCCGGUAGCUAAAUGCGGAAAAGAUAAGUGCUGAAAGCAUCUAAGCACGAAACUUGCCCCGAGAUGAGUUCUCCCUGACCCUUUAAGGGUCCUGAAGGAACGUUGAAGACUACGACGUUGAUAGGUCGGGUGUGUAAGCGCAGCGAUGCGUUGAGCUAACCGAUACUAAUGAACCGUGAGGCUUAACCUU